AUGAACGCUAGCUACAGGCUUAACACAUGCAAGUCGAGGGGAAACGACAUCGAAAGCUUGCUUUUGAUGGGCGUCGACCGGCGCACGGGUGAGUAACGCGUAUCCAACCUGCCCAUCACUUGGGAAUAACCUUGCGAAAGUAAGACUAAUACCCAAUGAUAUCCCACGAAGGCAUCGGAAUGGGAUUAAAGAUUUAUCGGUGAUGGAUGGGGAUGCGUCUGAUUAGCUUGUUGGCGGGGUAACGGCCCACCAAGGCAACGAUCAGUAGGGGUUCUGAGAGGAAGGUCCCCCACAUUGGAACUGAGACACGGUCCAAACUCCUACGGGAGGCAGCAGUGAGGAAUAUUGGUCAAUGGGCGAGAGCCUGAACCAGCCAAGUAGCGUGCAGGAAGACGGCCCUAUGGGUUGUAAACUGCUUUUAUAAGGGAAUAAAGUGGGUCACGUGUGACUUUUUGCAUGUACCUUAUGAAUAAGAACCGGCUAAUUCCGUG
This 491-nucleotide ribosomal RNA is filed under the name uncultured bacterium. RNAcentral describes it as "partial 16S ribosomal RNA". It matches the Rfam family "Bacterial small subunit ribosomal RNA", at positions 29 to 507 of the family's 1533-position model. The record is from RNAcentral.